GACGAACGCUGGCGGCGUGCCUAACACAUGCAAGUCGAACGGAGCGGCGAGGAGCUUGCUUUUCUUAGAUUAGUGGCGAACGGGUGAGUAACGCGUGAGUAACCUGCCUUGUAGUGGGGGACAACUAUUGGAAACGACUGCUAAUACCGCAUAAGCUCAUGAUCCGCCAUCGGAUUUAGGGAAAAGGAUCGUUUCGCUUCAGGAUGGAGGCGCGUCCAAUUAGUUAGUUGGUGAGGUAACAGCCCAGCAAGGAGGCGACGGGUAGCCGGGCUGGUGGGUUGCACGGGCACAUUGGGGGUGAGACACGGACGAGAAUGCUACGGGAGGGAGCAGUGGGGGAUAUUGCACGCGGGGGGAAGGCCUGACGAUGCGACGUCGUGUAGAGGAAGAAUGUUUUCGGAAUGUAAUUUCGUGUGGUUAGGGCCGAUAGUGACGGUACCUAACAAGAAAGCACCGGCUAACUACGUG
This 468-nucleotide ribosomal RNA is filed under the name uncultured bacterium. Its description in RNAcentral is "partial 16S ribosomal RNA". It matches the Rfam family "Bacterial small subunit ribosomal RNA", at positions 28 to 507 of the family's 1533-position model. The record is from RNAcentral.